AGAAGGGCGGCAUAUAAAUCAAAUUUAAAAAAAAAAAUUAAGCUCUUUUCAUUUGAGGGCUAAAUUGGCACUGUCUUCCUCUUUUCUUCCUGCAUUCCUAUUUAUGAGUCUAAAAUAUUGGCUACUUCUCCUCAAAUGCUUCUUAAUAUCCCCCUCUUUUAUUCAGUUCCAUGAGUACAGUUAAGAUGUUUUCCUAAGAUUUCCUGUUCUUCUUCUGUAAACCUUGUGGCUGCUGAAAGGCUGACUUUCAACAAGGAGCUGGCUGGUUUUGAUGAUACUUGAAGAACAACUUGGAGCUUACAGACCACAACCAUUUCCUUUUAAGGCUGAGCUGGAACUAAGGAGGCUUCCUAUUCUAACAAGCAAAUCAGAAGUUUGGCUCAUCUGAUGAAGCAAAAAUACAAGAACAUGUCAGCAUCUAUAGCUUGCCAACAACAUGAGGCUCACUCACAGCAUUUCCUAUCCCAAAGAACCUCAGAAUGCAGGAAGUGAGAAUAGUCAGCUAGAAGGAUGCUGAAGCAUACAGUCCAGUUGCUGAAUUUCAAGGGUUUUAACCAGGGGUGAAAUCCAGCAAGUUCUGACAGAUUCUGGAGAACCGGUAGCGGAAAUUUUGAGUAGUUCGGAGAACCGGCAAAUACUACCUCUGGCUGGCCCCAGAGUGGGGUGAGAAUGGGGAUUUUGCAGUAUCCUUCCCCUGCCACGCCCACCAAGCCAUGCCCACAGAACCGGUAGUAAAAAAAUUUGGAUUUCACCAUUGGUUUUAACACUCUUAUACAACUUUUUAAGCUUCUCCUGAUCACUUGUCUUUCAUGAAUAUGAUCAUGACCAAACCUGUUCCCACUGCUACCACAGUGCUUUAUCCCUGAAAUGUGAUAGCUCUUAUGUGCCACAUCCACAAGAUCAAGUUUAGCCUAGAGUUACCAGAUAUCUGAGCAGGCAAAGGAGGACAAAUAAAAUUAGGAAGGAGGACAAAGAAGGAUAAGAGGAGGAGAUACAGUUUAACAUUUGUAUUCAUAUUCAUUGGAGAGGGAGGGAUGACGCAGAUCUUGGAAACCAGCUGCUGGAGACUUUGGUUUGAGACUUAAACUGAUGACUUGAAAGGGCAAAAUGGCUUUUUUCUGAUGGCAGGUCAAUGAAAACUAUAGUAAAUCAAUUGGAAGGUCCCAUUUCAGAUUUGCUUUGAAUUGAUAUCCAUUAACUGGAUAAUAGAACCUCAUGCUUGUUCCAAUUGCAGGUUGCAUUUUCUAAGGCAUUUUCUCUGCCUUACAGCCACUUCAUUUUAGCGUGUCUGGUGUAAAACGGAAGUCAAAAUAGUGACAUUGUGAUAGUGAUGCUGUGAUGGGAGGCAUCGCUUUAUGUGAAAUGGCUAUCACAGUCCUGCUGCAUCCUGGAGCACUACAUUGCACAAUAAUUUCCCAAGCCCUGAGAUGGAAAUUAGCUCUUUUAAAAGAGAUAUAAGGAAACAUUGAGUAAAUACGUAUCUUCAGAAAACAUAUAAAUUCCUCCUUGAUUUGAGCCACAAGUUGGAACAUGGUUGACGUGUGAGUCAUCAGAUUUUCCCAUCGAAGUACAACUAAAAAUAUGUGUGAUUUAAAAUAAAAAACCCUGCCAUUA
Pantherophis guttatus is the source of this 1614-nucleotide non-coding RNA. The record is from RefSeq and is a predicted model, not a curated record. NCBI's taxonomy places the organism in Eukaryota, Metazoa, Chordata, Lepidosauria, Squamata, Colubridae.